This 468-nucleotide ribosomal RNA is filed under the name uncultured bacterium. RNAcentral's name for it is "partial 16S ribosomal RNA". It matches the Rfam family "Bacterial small subunit ribosomal RNA", at positions 28 to 507 of the family's 1533-position model. The record is from RNAcentral.
GACGAACGCUGGCGGCGUGCUUAACACAUGCAAGUCGAACGGAAAGGCCCUGCUUUUGUGGGGUGCUCGAGUGGCGAACGGGUGAGUAACACGUGAGUAACCUGCCCUUGACUUUGGGAUAACUUCAGGAAACUGGGGCUAAUACCGGAUAGGAGCUCCUGCUGCAUUGUGGGGGUUGGAAAGUUUCGGCGGUUGGGGAUGGACUCGCGGCUUAUCAGCUUGUUGGUGGGGUAGUGGCUUACCAAGGCUUUGACGGGUAGCCGGCCUGAGAGGGUGACCAGCCACAUUGGGACUGAGCUACGGCCCAGACUCCUACGGGAGGCAGUAGUGGGGAAUAUUGCACAAUGGGCGGAAGCCUGAUACAGCAGCGCCGCGUGCGGGAUGACGGCCUGCGGGUUGUAAACCGCUUUCGCCUGUGACGAAGCGUUAGUGACGGUAAUGGGUAAAGAAGCACCGGCUAACUACGUG